This 301-nucleotide ribosomal RNA is filed under the name uncultured bacterium. RNAcentral's name for it is "partial 16S ribosomal RNA". It matches the Rfam family "Bacterial small subunit ribosomal RNA", at positions 509 to 807 of the family's 1533-position model. The record is from RNAcentral.
CAGCCGCCACGGGAAUACGAAGGGGGCUAGCGUUGUUCGGAAUUACUGGGCGUAAAGCGCACGUAGGCGGAUAUUUAAGUCAGGGGUGAAAUCCCAGAGCUCAACUCUGGAACUGCCUUUGAUACUGGGUAUCUUGAGUAUGGAGGAGGUGAGUGGAAUUCCGAGUGUAGAGGUGAAAUUCGUAGAUAUUCGGAGGAACACCAGUGGCGAAGGCGGCUCACUGGUCCAUUACUGACGCUGAGGUGCGAAAGCGUGGGGAGCAAACAGGAUUAGAUACCCCGGUAGUCCCUGUCUCUUAUAC